UAACGGCGAGUGAAGCGGGAAGAGCUCAAAUUUGAAAUCUGGUGGCCUCAGGUCAUCCGAGUUGUAAUCUAUAGAAGUGUUUUCCGUGCUGGCUCAUGUACAAGUCCCUUGGAACAGGGCGUCAUAGAGGGUGAGAAUCCCGUCCUUGACAUGAACUACCAGUGCUCUGUGAUACAUUUUCAACGAGUCGAGUUGUUUGGGAAUGCAGCUCAAAAUGGGUGGUAAAUUCCAUCUAAAGCUAAAUAUUGGCGAGAGACCGAUAGCGAACAAGUACCGUGAGGGAAAGAUGAAAAGCACUUUGGAAAGAGAGUUAAACAGUAUGUGAAAUUGUUGAAAGGGAAACGAUUGAAGUCAGUCGUGCUCUUUGGAUUCAGCCGGUUCUGCCGGUGUACUUCCUUUGAGUGGGGUCAACAUCAGUUUUGAUCGCUGGAUAAAGGCAGGAGGAACGUAGUACCCUCGGGUAAACUUAUAGCCUCCUGUCACAUACAGUGGUUGGGACUGAGGAACGCAGCACGCCUUUAUGGCCGGGAUUCGUCCACGUACGUGCUUAGGAUGUUGACAUAAUGGCUUUAAACGACCCGUCUUGAAACACGGACCAAGGAGUCUAACAUAUCUGCGAGUAUUUGGGUGUCAAACCCAAGUGCGCAAUGAAAGUGAAUGUAGGAGGGAUCCGCAAGGAGCACCUUCGACCGAUCUGGAUCUUUAGUGAUGGAUUUGAGUAAGAGCAUAUAUGUUGG
Molecule: ribosomal RNA, 737 nt
Filed under: Filobasidium magnum
Lineage: Eukaryota; Fungi; Basidiomycota; Tremellomycetes; Filobasidiales; Filobasidiaceae
Description: eukaryotic LSU rRNA
Rfam family: Eukaryotic large subunit ribosomal RNA
Source: RNAcentral